CCCUUAGAUGUCCUGGGCCGCACGCGCGCUACACUGAGUGUCUGAGAUACGAGUCUGCCUGGUCCGGCAAGGUCUAGGUAAUCGCUAAAAGACACAUCAUGCUUGGGAUAGAUUAUUGCAAAUAUUAAUCUUGAACGAGGAAUUCCUAGUAAGCGCAAGUCAACAGCUUGCGUUGAUUACGUCCCUGCCCUUUGUACACACCGCCCGUCGCUCCUACCGAUGGAACGAUCCGGUGAAAACUCUGGAUUGGAGGGUUUGGUUGUUGCUUUGCAACACUACCCUUCGAGAAAUUGUUUGAAUCUUAUCGUUUAGAGGAAGGAGAAGUCGUAACA
This 332-nucleotide ribosomal RNA is filed under the name uncultured eukaryote. RNAcentral describes it as "partial 18S ribosomal RNA". It matches the Rfam family "Eukaryotic small subunit ribosomal RNA", at positions 1470 to 1796 of the family's 1831-position model. The record is from RNAcentral.